CGGACUUUCCUGUUCUUCCCAAGCUCCUUAUUCUGCUUGAGGAUAGGAGUGCAGUAAAGAGGGGACUGAGGAGAUUGGAAGUGGUAA
Molecule: microRNA precursor, 87 nt
Filed under: Notamacropus eugenii (tammar wallaby)
Lineage: Eukaryota; Metazoa; Chordata; Mammalia; Diprotodontia; Macropodidae
Description: miRNA (ENSMEUG00000016920.1)
Source: RNAcentral